GCAGACUUGUUUCCUGCAUUCCGGCUCACAAGGUUUCACAGCUGGGCCUGAACUCAUGCCUCACCGGGCCAGCAGAUUUAUAUCUGACAGUUGCAGGUUACCAACCAUUGAGGAACAACUAUGUCUAAGUUAUCAUUAUAUAUCCAACGAUCAAAUCUCGACUCACUAAAGAUAGAAGAGGAGAGAGAGGUACCUGUGGUGGGAGAGCAGAGAAGGACUCUCAUCACAUGGAGGGUGCACCCACUAACCGGACAAGUUCGUAAAUGGGAUGGCUUUCGCAUGUCACUGCCAAAAUGAACUGCAAUCGCAAGCGGGGUCUACUGCUUGCCUUUGCUGCAGCCAAUCCAGCAGACAUCACUGCAUUCGAACCAUGUCGCUCGUUCUGAUGGAACCAUAUGAACAAGCAGUCGACAAGAAUCUCCAAAUGCACAUGAAGCCAUCAUCAAAAGAAACAUCAGCAGCAAUGCCGGGCUUCAAUCAUUGGCAGCAGCUGCCCGCGUCUCAUCCAACCCCCAUCCCCCACCAAUGGCGACGCGAAACCUCAGCCGUCUCUGACCGCACUUCCCACCCCUUCAUUGAUCCGACGCUAGUAAAUUCCUUCCCAGCAGGACCAACCAAACCGAAAGCACCACUUGCUAAUUGUGGCAUUACAUCGAACAGCUGAUCGACGCAACCAAGGUCGCGAGUGGCCGAUGGCAACUUCGACAGCGAAACCGACCGUAGCAGAGAAGAACUCAGGUGAAGCGCGACCGAUGGCGGCGUGACUCACACGCCGGGGAACCGUAUUCAACUCCCUCCACGCAAACAGAUACGUCCAUCUAACCUUAUCCGAUCCAUCAAAUGGGGGUCAGGAAGGAUUUAGAUGGAAAAGGAUGGCGAUCGAGUGCAUACCUAAAUAUGAUGGCAAUGGAUUGGAUUGGCCCCCAAUAAUUGGGAGACGCAGAAAUAUCGGAGCACAAGUGGGAAUGUGGCGGAGUGCGACUGGUUAUGGGACGGUGGCAAGGGGGGAUAUUGGACCAUACAAGACGUGGCGUCGUCUGCUUGAAGGAAGGGAGAUGGGCGAUGGCACCGUGUGAGAGCCACCUUCGCUGCCAACGACGACGCCACAGAAAACCAAAUGAAGAGCGCGUCGAGGCCAUGAUGGUUCCCCUACCUCGGGGGACGGAGAGAGGGUGGACUCUCCGCCCCGUGUCGCACCUCCCUACCUCGGGACGGAGACAGUCAACUCUUUC
RNAcentral lists this long non-coding RNA (1232 nucleotides) under Musa acuminata (dwarf banana). Its description in RNAcentral is "long non-coding RNA (MACU_LNC002346)". Lineage: Eukaryota; Viridiplantae; Streptophyta; Magnoliopsida; Zingiberales; Musaceae. The record is from RNAcentral.